UGUUAGAUAUUAGGAGAAUAAAUAAUCAGCGCUCCCGUCCUCUCCUCUACAGAUACUCCCAUUUUUUCUUUCGAAAUUUGAGUUUGAGGGGUUUAUUUCUUUCUGCAAAAUCACCUUCAGAAAAGAGAGAGAUGAAAAACCAUCGACCAAACCAUUCGACAAACACGACUGGCCGUUGGUCAAAAUUCAAUCUUUUUCAGUUCUUGAUUGUAAAGAUUGCAUCUUUAUCGCUGUCAAAAUAUUGACUCAUUCCAUUCUUUUCUUCACAUUUUUGAUGAAUUGUUGACUACUAUCGUUGUAUUUUUUUAAUCUAUCAAAUGUUCCAAAAUUUGGUGUGUUAUUGUAUGUGUUGUUGACUCUUUUGAAUGUAAGCGAUCAUAAUUAACAGGAUGAAAAUAUGCUUUAUAUUCCGGUGGCUAGAACUUUGUCAAAGUAUGUUGGUUGGUAUAUCACAUGUAUCGAUUUGCAAUGGCAAGUGAUUUCUUAAAAAUUUUAGAGGCCCACAAGAUAUUAUACGAUGUUUGGUUGGGAAUUUGCUUGGACUUUCUUUUUUCAGAAUUUUGGGGAAUUUCUUUAGGUAUGGCAAUAUGGAAGUUGUGUUAUGAAUAUUGAGAUGCAAUUUUGGGUAGGCUGAACUAAGAAAGAAAAGUUUAAUCCUCUGCGUGGAUCAAUCAUUCUUUGGGAGCUUGAUUUGUGUUGGAGCAUAGGAUUGGAGUACAGGAAGAACAAUAUUUUUGUUAAGAAAACUUGUAUUUGAAAAGAAUGCUUCUGAUUUUAGUUUCCCGGAUUAUCUUUCUAAUAUGACAAUGAAGAUAAUGCAAAUUGUGAAGAGCUGGAUUUAAAAGAUUUCUAAAACCUCAAGCUUUCUUCAUGAGAUUUUUGCCUUGAUAUUGAUGCCUGAGCGGUUUUACUAGGAUAUUAGUCAAAACACGGAUCUGUUCUAUCCCGUGCAGAAAGAUUCAGCAGUUGGAUGAAGGUUCUGAUUUUAGUGUGAUGAUGGAUCUAGCUCCCUUUGGAGUGCAUUCAACAGUCAUAUAAAGAUGGUAUGGUACAGGGAGUCUUGAACACAAAUUUUAGAUAACUUGUAUGAUGAAACGUAUUUUGGCUCUUGCGAUGUGAAAACCAAUGGCAUCCAGGUACCAUCCAGCCCUCCCUUUGAAGCCCACAAUUUGCCCUCCUU
Non-coding RNA from Sesamum indicum (sesame), 1180 nucleotides. Lineage: Eukaryota; Viridiplantae; Streptophyta; Magnoliopsida; Lamiales; Pedaliaceae. The record is from RefSeq and is a predicted model, not a curated record.